UCUAAAAAGUUUUAAGUGCCCCUAUACUUUCCCUUCUCUAUACAAUGAACCCAAAAAAAAAAAAAAAAUCCCCAAACUGACUCCGCCACAGACUCCACCGUGAAGCUCGUCGCGGGCCUCAUUUCGCAUCCAUUCCGUCAACUCCAAGCCUGAGACCGAAGACGCCAACGGAGACAACACCAAUUGGGGGAAAGAUCGAGACUGAGAUUGAGAUGGGGACCGAGUACGUGACCGCGACUGGGAGAGUGAUAGGGGUGAGAUCGAGAUUGCGAUAGGAAUAGAGACAGAGAGCGAGAGAGAGACCGUGAGCGUGACUGUUGAGGUUCAGAUUGUGUGAAACAAUCAAGAGUUUUAGGUUCGUCAUAUUCGUCCAAGUGCACCACCAGAUUGGUUCUACUACGAUUGAAGUAAGGACAAGAGAGGGAGAUGUUCUUGCAGUCAAGAAGCGUAAGAAGAUAAUAAGAAGGUUUUGAGAAAAAGGAGAUAAGAGAGCCAGUCAGCCAGAAAUGCUAGGCCACAAGUGUCUGACUAUUUGGAGUUUCCAACAUGGAUCGGUUUGUGAUACUCAGAAUCAUUUCCUCAAAAAAAGAAGCUUCCAGAUUUUGGAGAAGUGGGUUCCAAGCUCUGUGAGAAAGUUUGAAUCAUGCCAAGGACCUCAGAUCAGGAGAACAUUAACAUGAAUGAAGAGUCUGGUAUCCAUCAUUAUAUAGAAGGAUGAUAGUUUAUAAGUAUUUUUUCGAGACUGGGUGAAUAAUGUUUGUUUUAUGAAAUGAUGUGUAUCUUGUGGAUGUUUAUUAUAUAUAAAUUGGAUAUUUUGCAAAUUAAGCAGGUUCCACCAAA
Camelina sativa (false flax) is the source of this 840-nucleotide long non-coding RNA. RefSeq lists it as uncharacterized. NCBI's taxonomy places the organism in Eukaryota, Viridiplantae, Streptophyta, Magnoliopsida, Brassicales, Brassicaceae. The record is from RefSeq and is a predicted model, not a curated record.